UCUAGUAGGACUACAUCCUCAUGAAAAGGGAAACGUAGGGACAGGGACGCAUGCUUAGAUGUGUGAGCCCAGCAAAGAGACCCCAGCUCUACCAACAGGUUGACCCCGAACUUCUAGCCUUCAGAACUGAGACAACACGCUUUGGUUGUUUUCUUCUAAUGAACUAAUGCACUGUUGUUUAUUUGUGUGUGUGUGUAGAGGUCAGAGGACAGCUUGUGGGAGGUGAAAUCAGAUCUUCACAACAGAUUAAGAACGGCUAUCACUCAGCACAGCUGGGGUCCCUGGGGACCGACAGGAGACUGGGGAAGAAGGUCCAGCAGUGAGGAAGGAAUGGCCCGGCUCCUCAGCAGCGGUCCUGGGUCUCCGGCAGACCCGACACAGGUGUGAAAUGAUCCCCAUGCCAUGUGGAGGAGCAGAAUGUCAUCUCUGAGGUCUGUGUUAAAAUCCCUUGAUAGCUUCCUCAGGGAGAUCAAAAGGUCUUUCUCACUACCACAGUGCUCCAUGUCGCCAAGGCUACGAAACCGAAGAGCAAGAAAGUUGAUGUGUAUUCGUGGGGGGCGCCAAAGGCUUCACCUCCGCACUAAAUAGUCUCUGCAAGUUUUGUGUUAGCAUUCUGCCCAUGCACUCGACAUUCUCAGAGUUCUCAAGGAGUCACAACUGAGAACUACCCACUGGGAGUCUUUUUUGCCUAGUGAUGUUUCGCCUAAAUACUACAAAAUUGCUUUCAAUGAAAUGUUCUUUUUUUUUUUACAUUAAACAUCACUGU
Peromyscus maniculatus bairdii (prairie deer mouse) is the source of this 766-nucleotide long non-coding RNA. RefSeq lists it as uncharacterized. NCBI's taxonomy places the organism in Eukaryota, Metazoa, Chordata, Mammalia, Rodentia, Cricetidae. The record is from RefSeq and is a predicted model, not a curated record.